UUUCCGAUAUCAGUGAUUUCUGUGAAUGCUACUUUUCAGUAUCUGCUAUUCUUAACUGUGAUUUGUCGCAGUUAAGAGUCGCAGUUAAGGAACGUAGGUCGCGUAUCCCUCCGCCACUGCUAUUUCUGCGAUUUCUGCUACUUCUGCGAUUUCUGCUACUUCUGCGAUUUCUGCGACUUACCACCGUAUGAAAAAGUUACAUCUGCCCACACAGAAAAUUGCAUCUCAGCAAAUCUGUCAUUGCUAAGUACCUGAACUACAUUUCAGUCACUCAGUAAAUUGAUAACUCAAAAUAUCAUUGUCAACAGAUCUGGAGAAAUUGCCACUGCGUCUUUAGACCGUUUUCGUCAGACGAGAGACACAGUUCUGACUCUUGAUUACUGGUUGCUGUACGUAUCUAUCCACAUCAAGGCUAUUGAGAGAGACUCUUGAAGAUUCAAGACAGCUCUUAGAGGAUUUGCAGUUUAAAAGUGACAUAAUUGUGAAAUAAGUGAGCAGAUGAGUGAUUAAACUGUGUUUUAUUGAAGUUGUUAUGCGAUUUUAAAGGAAUAAUAAAUG
Long non-coding RNA from Schistocerca gregaria, 558 nucleotides. RefSeq lists it as uncharacterized. The transcript is spliced from 3 exons. The record is from RefSeq and is a predicted model, not a curated record. NCBI's taxonomy places the organism in Eukaryota, Metazoa, Arthropoda, Insecta, Orthoptera, Acrididae.